RNAcentral lists this transfer RNA (68 nucleotides) under Trigonopterus sp. 7 AH-2016. Its description in RNAcentral is "tRNA-Lys". Lineage: Eukaryota; Metazoa; Arthropoda; Insecta; Coleoptera; Curculionidae. The record is from RNAcentral.
CAUUAGAUAACUAAAGUCAGUAAAGGUCUCUUAAACCUAAAAUAAUAGAUUAACACCUAUUUCUAAUG